RNAcentral lists this small nucleolar RNA (65 nucleotides) under Dasypus novemcinctus (nine-banded armadillo). Its description in RNAcentral is "Small nucleolar RNA SNORD58 (ENSDNOG00000028367.1)". It matches the Rfam family "Small nucleolar RNA SNORD58". Rfam says of the family: snoRNA U58 is found in introns 1, 3 and 6 of the ribosomal protein RPL17 gene in humans. U58 is a member of the C/D class of snoRNA which contain C (UGAUGA) and D (CUGA) box motifs. Lineage: Eukaryota; Metazoa; Chordata; Mammalia; Cingulata; Dasypodidae. The record is from RNAcentral.
CUGCAGUGAUGGAAUUUCUUGGACACCUUUGGAUUACUCAUGAAAAAAACUAGUAUCUGAGGAAC